AGAGACGGGAUUUCACCGUGGUCUUGAUCUCCUGACCUUGUGAUCUGCCCACCUCGGUCUCCCAAAGUGGUGGGAUUACAGGUGUGAGCCAUCGCGCCCGGCCAGCUCCUGUAUUUUGCAGCUGAGGAGGGGAUUAAGUGAUUGAGAUGUGGGAAGUGCUUAGAAUGGAGCCCAGCAGAGAUCAGUGGGCAGCGGACAUCGGUGCUCUCAUGGACCCAGUGGGCUCAGCACUGCGCUCUCUGCACUGCAGUCAUGGGUGAGCCCAUGAUGGCUUCCACUUGACAGGGGAGCAGGCAAAGCAAGCACGCGAAGGUGCCGGGUGCAUGGAGUGGAACCCUGCUGUGGGAGGAGGAUGGGGGCUGCUUUACAAGAGAAAGGACUUUUCUUUUCUUUUGUUUUUUGAGACAGGGUCUCA
RNAcentral lists this long non-coding RNA (415 nucleotides) under Homo sapiens (human). RNAcentral describes it as "non-protein coding lnc-CCDC88B-1:1". Lineage: Eukaryota; Metazoa; Chordata; Mammalia; Primates; Hominidae. The record is from RNAcentral.